This 439-nucleotide ribosomal RNA is filed under the name uncultured bacterium. RNAcentral describes it as "partial 16S ribosomal RNA". It matches the Rfam family "Bacterial small subunit ribosomal RNA", at positions 342 to 795 of the family's 1533-position model. The record is from RNAcentral.
CGGGUUGCUGCAGCAGUGGGGAAUAUUGCACAAUGGAGGAAACUCUGAUGCAGCAACGCCGCGUGGAGGAUGACGCAUUUCGGUGUGUAAACUCCUUUUAUAUGUCAAGAAAAUGACGGUAGCAUAUGAAUAAGCACCGGCUAACUCCGUGCCAGCAGCCGCGCUAAUACGGAGGGUGCAAGCGUUACUCGGAAGCACUGGGCGUAAAGGACGCGUAGGCGGGAUAUCAAGUCAGGUGUGAAAUCCUACAGCUUAACUGUAGAACUGCACUUGAAACUGGUAACCUAGAGUAUGGGAGGGGGAGAUGGAAUUAGUGGUGUAGGGGUAAAAUCCGUAGAUAUCACUAGGAAUACCUAAAGCGAAGGCGAUCUCCUGGAACAUAACUGACGCUAAGGCGUGAAAGCGUGGGGAGCAAACAGGAUUAGAUACCCUGGUAGUC